Non-coding RNA from Brachypodium distachyon (stiff brome), 143 nucleotides. The record is from Rfam. Lineage: Eukaryota; Viridiplantae; Streptophyta; Magnoliopsida; Poales; Poaceae.
GUUCUACUUUCUCCGUUUAACAAAAGAUGUCUCAUCUUUUAGUAAAUUUGAAUGUAUCUAUACACUAAGUCAUGUCUAGAUUUUAGAUACAUUCAAAAUUUGACAAAUUUAAGACAUUUUUUAUUGGACGGAGGGAGCAGUUG